AUCGAACGCUGGCGGCAGGCUUAACACAUGCAAGUCGAGCGAGCGGCGGACGGGUGAGUAAUGUCUGGGAAACUGCCUGAUGGAGGGGGAUAACUACUGGAAACGGUAGCUAAUACCGCAUACCAUCAGAUGUGCCCAGAUGGGAUUAGCUAGUAGGUGGGGUAAUGGCUCACCUGGGCGACGAUCCCUAGCUGGUCUGAGAGGAUGACCGGCCAAACGGGAACGGGGAAAGGGUCCAGACUCCUACGGGAGGCACAAGUGGGGAAUAUUGGACAAUGGGGGCAAGCCUGAUGCAGACAUGCCGCGGGUGUGAAGAAGGCCUUCGGGUUGUAAAGCACUUUCAGCGAGGAGGCGUUACUCGCAGAAGAAGCAACGGCUAACUCCGUGCCAGCAGCCGCGGUAAUAC
Molecule: ribosomal RNA, 406 nt
Filed under: uncultured bacterium
Lineage: Bacteria
Description: partial 16S ribosomal RNA
Rfam family: Bacterial small subunit ribosomal RNA
Source: RNAcentral